UUAACGACUCUCGGCAACGGAUAUCUCGGCUCUCGCAUCGAUGAAGAACGUACGAAAUGCGAUACUUGGUGUGAAUUGCAGAAUCCCAUGAACCAUCGAGUCUUUGAACGCAAGUUGCGCCCUAGACCAUUAGGUUGAGGGCACGCCUGCCUGGGCGUCACGC
RNAcentral lists this ribosomal RNA (163 nucleotides) under Trochodendron aralioides. RNAcentral's name for it is "5.8S ribosomal RNA". It matches the Rfam family "5.8S ribosomal RNA". Rfam says of the family: 5.8S ribosomal RNA (5.8S rRNA) is a component of the large subunit of the eukaryotic ribosome. Lineage: Eukaryota; Viridiplantae; Streptophyta; Magnoliopsida; Trochodendrales; Trochodendraceae. The record is from RNAcentral.